Small nucleolar RNA from Polypterus senegalus (gray bichir), 84 nucleotides. RefSeq annotates it as small nucleolar RNA SNORD100. The transcript has a single exon. Lineage: Eukaryota; Metazoa; Chordata; Cladistia; Polypteriformes; Polypteridae. The record is from RefSeq and is a predicted model, not a curated record.
UGUUUCUAUGAUGACAAUUUGGCUCCCUCUUCUGAAAUUUAAUGAGGAAAAUUGCCAUCGUUACCCAUUCUUGUCUGAGAUUCA